Molecule: non-coding RNA, 73 nt
Organism: Stegodyphus mimosarum
Lineage: Eukaryota; Metazoa; Arthropoda; Arachnida; Araneae; Eresidae
Source: Rfam
GCCUUCGUGGUGUAGUGGUCAGCACACCGAGCCGGUAUUUCAGAGGUCCGUGGUUCGAUUCCCGGCAAAGGCG